RNAcentral lists this unclassified non-coding RNA (339 nucleotides) under soil metagenome. Its description in RNAcentral is "partial contains 5.8S ribosomal RNA, internal transcribed spacer 2, and large subunit ribosomal RNA". The stretch from base 1 to 120 matches the Rfam family "5.8S ribosomal RNA", at positions 35 to 154 of the family's 154-position model. The record is from RNAcentral.
GAUGAAGAACGUAGCGAAAUGCGAUAAGUAAUGCGAAUUGCAGAAUUCCGUGAGUCAUCGAAUCUUUGAACGCACAUUGUGCCCUUUGGCAUUCCGAAGGGCAUGCCUGUUCGAGCGUCAUUUAUCAACCCUCAAGCCCGGCUUGCGGUUGGGUCCCGCCGUGGGCGACCACGGCGGACCUGAAAGGUAAUGGCGGUGCCCGUGGGGCCCUGGACGCAGCGAGCUUCUCGGCACGCGUCCCGGCGGUCCCCGGCGGCGUCUCCACCAACCCACCACGCAGAUUGACCUCGGAUCAGGUAGGGAUACCCGCUGAACUUAAGCAUAUCAAUAAGCGGAGGA